GAAACGACUGCUAAGACUGGAUAGGAAGCGGGGAGGCCUCUCGCCGCUUUUAAAAGACCUAGUUUCUAGGUAUGCUUAAGGAGGGGCUUGCGCCAUAUUAGUUAGUUGGUAGGGUAACGGCCUCCCAAGACGAUGAUGUGUAGCUGGACUGAGAGGUUGAACGGCCACAUUGGGACUGAGAUACGGCCCAAACUCCUACGGGAGGCAGCAGUAGGGAAUUUUCGGCAAUGGAGGCAACUCUGACCGAGCAACGCCGCGUGAACGAUGAAGUACUUCGGUAUGUAAAGUUCUUUUAUUAAGGAAGAAAACAGCCCGGCGAACCGGGCUUUUGACGGUACUUAAGGAAUCAGCCCCGGCUAAUUAUGUGCCAGCAGCCGCGGUAAUACAUAAGGGGCGAGUGUUAUCCGGAAUUAUUGGGCGUAAAGGGUGCGUAGGCGGUGAAGUUAGUCAAUGGUGUAAUGGCAGCGCUUAACGGUGUCCGGCUAUUGAAACUGCUUCACUCGAGUGAGAUAGAGGCGAGUGGAAUUCCAUGUGUAGCGGUAAAAUGUGUAAAUAUAUGGAGGAACACCAGAGGCGUAGGCGGCUCGCUGGGUCUUGACUGACGCUGAGGCACGAAAGCGUGGGGAGCAAACAGGAUUAGAUACCCUGGUAGUCCACGCCGUAAACGAUGAGUACUAAGUGUCGGGUUCCCCCGGUACUGAAGUUAACACAUUAAGUACUCCGCCUGAGUAGUACGUACGCAAGUAUGAAACUUAAAGGAAUUGACGGGACUCCGCACAAGCGGUGGAUCAUGUUGUUUAAUUCGAAGAUACGCGAAAAACCUUACCAGGCCUUGACAUGUUCGUGCAAUGCAGUAGUAAUAUUGCGGAGGUUAUCACGAUCACAGGUGGUGCAUGGUUGUCGUCAGCUCGUGUCGUGAGAUGUUAGGUUAAGUCCUAAAACGAGCGAAACCCUUGUCAUUAGUUGCCAGCAUGUUAAGAUGGGGACUCUAAUGAGACUGCCAGUGACAAACUGGAGGAAGGUGGGGAUUACGUCAAAUCAGCAUGCCCCUUAUGGCCUGGGCUACAAACGUGAUACAAUGGCUGUGACAAAGAGUAGCUGAAACGCGAGUUUUUAGCCAAUCUCAAAAACGCAGUCUCAGUUCGGAUUGAAGUCUGCAACUCGACUUCAUGAAGUUGGAAUCGCUAGUAAUCGCGAAUCAGCAUGUCGCGGUGAAUACGCUCUCGGGGUUUGUACACACCGCCCGUCA
Molecule: ribosomal RNA, 1249 nt
Filed under: 'Juniperus excelsa' phytoplasma
Lineage: Bacteria; Bacillati; Mycoplasmatota; Mollicutes; Acholeplasmatales; Acholeplasmataceae
Description: bacterial SSU rRNA
Rfam family: Bacterial small subunit ribosomal RNA
Source: RNAcentral